UUUACUUGAUUAACUGGGCAAGCACAGGCCGGAGCAGAAACGCGUAAGGUCGUCGGGAGCGUUAGUUGUGUAUAAGAAACAGGGUCUGGGGGGUAUCGACCCCCUCCGAGCCGUAGCUAACGCGAUAAGUAUCCCGCCUGGGGAGUACGGCCGCAAGGCUAAAACUCAAAGGAAUUGACGGGGACCCGCACAAGCAGCGGAGCGUGUGGUUUAAUUCGAUGAUAAGCGAAGAACCUUACCAGGGCUUGACAUGCUUUUGACCGGCUGCGAAAGCAGCCUUUCCUUCGGGACAGAUGCACAGAUGUUGCAUGGCUGUCGUCAGCUCGUGCCGUGAGGUGUUGGGUUAAGUCCCGCAACGAGCGCAACCCCUGUCGUUAGUUAGAAUGUCUAGCGAGACUGCCCCUAAACAGGGGAGGAAGGUGGGGAUGACGCCAAGUCAUCAUGGCUCUUACGUCCUGGGCUACACACACGCUACAAUGGGCGGCACAGAGGGUUGCGAAGGCGCGAGCCGGAGCUAAUCCCACAAAGCCGUCCCCAGCUGGGAUUGCAGGCUGAAACCCGCCUGCAUGAACGCGGAGUUGCUAGUAACCGCAGGUCAGCACACUGCGGUGAAUACGUUCCCGGGUCUUGUACACACCGCCCGUCACGUCAUGGAAGUCGGUAACACUUGAAGUCGCUGGGCCAACCCGCAAGGGGGGCAGGCGCCGAGGGUGGGACUGGUAACUGGGACGAAGUCGUAACAAGGUAGCUGUACCGGAAGGUGCGGCUG
RNAcentral lists this ribosomal RNA (769 nucleotides) under marine metagenome. Its description in RNAcentral is "bacterial SSU rRNA". It matches the Rfam family "Bacterial small subunit ribosomal RNA", at positions 541 to 1520 of the family's 1533-position model. The record is from RNAcentral.